Molecule: ribosomal RNA, 497 nt
Filed under: uncultured bacterium
Lineage: Bacteria
Description: partial 16S ribosomal RNA
Rfam family: Bacterial small subunit ribosomal RNA
Source: RNAcentral
GAUGAACGCUGGCGGCGUGCCUAAUACAUGCAAGUCGAGCGAACGGACGAGGAGCUUGCUUUUCUGAUGUUAGCGGCGGACGGGUGAGUAACACGUGUAUAACCUACCUAUAAGGCUGGGAUAACUUCGGGAAACCGGAUCUAAUACCGGAUAAUAUUUUGAACCGCAUGGUUCAUAAGUGAAAGACGGUCUUGCUGUCACUUAUAGAUGGAUCCACGCUGCAUUAGCUAGUUGGUAAGGUAACGGCUUACCAAGGCAACGAUGCAUAGCCGACCUGAGAGGGUGAUCGGCCACACUGGAACUGAGACACGGUCCAGACUCCUACGGGAGGCAGCAGUAGGGAAUAUUCCGCAAUGGGCGAAAGCCUGACGGAGCAACGCCGCGUGAGUGAUGAAGGUCUUCGGAUCGUAAAACUCUGUUAUUAGGGAAGAACAUAUGUGUAAGUAACUGUGCACAUCUUGACGGUACCUAAUCAGAAAGCCACGGCUAACUACGUG